CGGACUCUAACCUCGUAGUCAUGUACGAGUCGUGAUGACUGGUAGCAUGUUCUAUCCUCUGAUUACAGCCGGCGCGAUCUGGUGAGCUAAUGCUCUCAAAGAAUACAGCCUGGUAGUGGGGGACAACGUUCCGAAAGGAGCGCUAAUACCGCAUACGUCCUACGGGAGAAAGUGGGGGAUCUUCGGACCUCACGCUAUCAGAUGAGCCUAGGUCGGAUUAGCUAGUUGGUGAGGUAAAGGCUCACCAAGGCGACGAUCCGUAACUGGUCUGAGAGGAUGAUCAGUCACACUGGAACUGAGACACGGUCCAGACUCCUACGGGAGGCAGCAGUGGGGAAUAUUGGACAAUGGGCGAAAGCCUGAUCCAGCCAUGCCGCGUGUGUGAAGAAGGUCUUCGGAUUGUAAAGCACUUUAAGUUGGGAGGAAGGGCAGUAAGUUAAUACCUUGCUGUUUUGACGUUACCGACAGAAUAAGCACCGGCUAACUCUGUGCCAGCAGCCGCGGUAAUACAGAGGGUGCAAGCGUUAAUCGGAAUUACUGGGCGUAAAGCGCGCGUAGGUGGUUCGUUAAGUUGGAUGUGAAAGCCCCGGGCUCAACCUGGGAACUGCAUCCAAAACUGGCGAGCUAGAGUAUGGUAGAGGGUGGUGGAAUUUCCUGUGUAGCGGUGAAAUGCGUAGAUAUAGGAAGGAACACCAGUGCGAAGGCGAACACCUGGACUGAUACUGACACUGAGGUGCGAAAGCGUGGGGAGCCAACAGGAAUUAGAUACCCUGGUAGUUCACGCCGGUANAGAUGUCAC
This 799-nucleotide ribosomal RNA is filed under the name Pseudomonas sp. SYC3 IA. RNAcentral's name for it is "bacterial SSU rRNA". It matches the Rfam family "Bacterial small subunit ribosomal RNA", at positions 43 to 815 of the family's 1533-position model. Lineage: Bacteria; Pseudomonadati; Pseudomonadota. The record is from RNAcentral.